RNAcentral lists this ribosomal RNA (651 nucleotides) under uncultured Acinetobacter sp. RNAcentral describes it as "bacterial SSU rRNA". It matches the Rfam family "Bacterial small subunit ribosomal RNA", at positions 95 to 741 of the family's 1533-position model. The record is from RNAcentral. Lineage: Bacteria; Pseudomonadati; Pseudomonadota; Gammaproteobacteria; Moraxellales; Moraxellaceae.
GCGGCGGACGGGUGAGUAAUGCUUAGGAAUCUGCCUAUUAGUGGGGGACAACAUUCCGAAAGGAAUGCUAAUACCGCAUACGUCCUACGGGAGAAGGCAGGGGAUCUUCGGACCUUGCGCUAAUAGAUGAGCCUAAGUCGGAUUAGCUAGUUGGUGGGGUAAAGGCCUACCAAGGCGACGAUCUGUAGCGGGUCUGAGAGGAUGAUCCGCCACACUGGGACUGAGACACGGCCCAGACUCCUACGGGAGGCAGCAGUGGGGAAUAUUGGACAAUGGGGGGAACCCUGAUCCAGCCAUGCCGCGUGUGUGAAGAAGGCCUUAUGGUUGUAAAGCACUUUAAGCGAGGAGGAGGCUACUGAGACUAAUACUCUUGGAUAGUGGACGUUACUCGCAGAAUAAGCACCGGCUAACUCUGUGCCAGCAGCCACGGUAAUACAGAGGGUGCGAGCGUUAAUCGGAUUUACUGGGCGUAAAGCGUGCGUAGGCGGCUUUUUAGGUCGGAUGUGAAAUCCCCGAGCUUAACUUGGGAAUUACAUUCGAUACUGGGAAGCUAGAGUAUGGGAGAGGAUGGUAGAAUUCCAGGUGUAGCGGUGAAAUGCGUAGAGAUCUGGAGGAAUACCGAUGGCGAAGGCAGCCAUCUGGCCUAAUACU